Schistosoma rodhaini is the source of this 48-nucleotide non-coding RNA. NCBI's taxonomy places the organism in Eukaryota, Metazoa, Platyhelminthes, Trematoda, Strigeidida, Schistosomatidae. The record is from Rfam.
AUCCAGAUGACGAGUCCCAUAUAGGACGAAACGCGAGUCAAACUGGAU